GGAGACAUGGAAUUCAGGUCUAUAUCCCUUGUCAACUUAGGAUCCACAGAACCCAUAAUGUGCUUUCGAGUGUCGCUAUCUUCAGACACAAAUUCAUUGUCACUAUUACAGAAGCUGCUUUGAACACUUGCGCUACAAAAUGUUGAUCUGAAUUCAAGAUUUAUACCACAGCAAGACUUAUCUCCAGGAAUUUCAGGGCCUCUGAACUUAGAGCUUCUAAUCAACUGUACAGGGUUAAACCAUGGAAUUGCUAUAGGGGCUCUCACGAGUUCACAUGUAUGCUUUCUCCAAGAUGAAACGGAUGAUGAAUCAUAUGUCUUUACGUCAUCCAGAGGAAUGAGUUCAGUUGAGAUAUGCUUGCGAGCAGAAGCAGUCUUUUCAGGAUUGCUUUCCAAAUCAAAAUCCUUCCUUUCUCUAUGCAAUUUUCCACUGUUUAGAUUCAAUAAAUGAGAAGUUGCAAGUGCACUGGCUUGCUCAAUCUCAACAUCUUUGGAUGAUGCAGAUAGUUUUUCUGUACAAAUCCUUGCAGGGAAAGAAUUCAUUUCACCACUACUUUGCACAGCUUCAGCAUUAUCAGAUAGGCACUCCUGUCGACUUUCAUCCUUGUCCAGGUGUAACACACUUGAGAAAGCUUCAGGAUCCACUCUUGUCUGGAUAUUUUGGACUAUCUCCUUUGGUUGAGAUUGGAUGUCUGAAUUUCUUUUUGCAGACAGAUCCUGGCAGGGGAUCUCUCUAAGGUCUGCCACAGGACCAAGAAAAACAUUGGAUUCAGGAUUUGUUUCUUCCUCAAGCCUGAUGGGUUCAUUCAAAUCAGCUA
This 817-nucleotide unclassified non-coding RNA is filed under the name Hevea brasiliensis (rubber tree). Lineage: Eukaryota; Viridiplantae; Streptophyta; Magnoliopsida; Malpighiales; Euphorbiaceae. The record is from RNAcentral.